This 397-nucleotide ribosomal RNA is filed under the name uncultured bacterium. RNAcentral describes it as "partial 16S ribosomal RNA". It matches the Rfam family "Bacterial small subunit ribosomal RNA", at positions 523 to 918 of the family's 1533-position model. The record is from RNAcentral.
AUACGUAGGGGGCGAGCGUUGUCCGGAAUGAUUGGGCGUAAAGGGCGCGUAGGCGGCCCGGUAAGUCUGGAGUGAAAGUCCUGUUUUUAAGAUGGGAAUUGCUUUGGAUACUGUCGGGCUUGAGUGCAGGAGAGGUAAGUGGAAUUCCCAGUGUAGCGGUGAAAUGCGUAGAGAUUGGGAGGAACACCAGUGGCGAAGGCGACUUACUGGACUGUAACUGACGCUGAGGCGCGAAAGUGUGGGGAGCAAACAGGAUUAGAUACCCUGGUAGUCCACUCUGUAAACGAUGAAUGCUAGGUGUAAGAGGUAUCGACCCCUUUUGUGCCGGAGUCAACACAAUAAGCAUUCCGCCUGGGGAGUACGGCCGCAAGGUUGAAACUCAAAGGAAUUGACGGGG